UGCCACGCAAAGUACCCUAGGUUGACA
This 27-nucleotide non-coding RNA is filed under the name Homo sapiens (human). The record is from RNAcentral. Lineage: Eukaryota; Metazoa; Chordata; Mammalia; Primates; Hominidae.